CCAAAAAUGGUAACUCCUUUAAAGACUUUAGGUGUAGUGUUUCCUUUAUAUAAUGUAUUUUAUUAUGGAUUUUUUGUAAAAUUCCAAUUAAAAAUUUUUGUUUGUCAAGCAAUUGAGCACAUGAAGACAUUUUAUUUACGACAAAUAAAGUGCCAGCAGUCGCGGUCACACUUUAGUAAAUAUAAAGAUAUACAGAACUAUUAUACAUUCUUUAUAUAUUAAUAGUGAAAUAUAAAUAUAUUUAAUAUAUUACUGUUUCUUUAUUAAAAACUGAUUACAAACAGGGAUUAGAUACCCCUUUAUGCAGUACAUAUAUCUUCGUUCUGAAUAAUAAAACUUUUAAAGUCCAAACUCAACCAUCAUGGCGGUAGUUAAAACAUUUAGGGGAACUUAUGAGAUAAAUGAUAACCAUCAAGAUAACGUACUGUAGAUAAAAUUUUGUAUACCGUCGUCGUAGAUUAACUAUAAUAGUUUAUCAUCCUGAAGUAUAUGAUAAGACAGAUCAAGGUACAGACUAUACUACUGUCUUCGCGAGUUACUAUAAAAAUUUAAUUCAUUAAACACUUUUAAUACUGUUAAAUGAAGGACUUAAAAGUAAUAAGUAUUAAGUAUAAAUUAUGAAUAUAACUUUAACUGUGC
Molecule: ribosomal RNA, 639 nt
Filed under: Vidovicia coerulans
Lineage: Eukaryota; Metazoa; Mollusca; Gastropoda; Stylommatophora; Helicidae
Description: partial 12S small subunit ribosomal RNA
Source: RNAcentral